RNAcentral lists this unclassified non-coding RNA (212 nucleotides) under fungal sp. Its description in RNAcentral is "partial internal transcribed spacer region". The stretch from base 1 to 46 matches the Rfam family "Eukaryotic small subunit ribosomal RNA", at positions 1786 to 1831 of the family's 1831-position model. Lineage: Eukaryota; Fungi. The record is from RNAcentral.
AAGUCGUAACAAGGUUUCCGUAGGUGAACCUGCGGAAGGAUCAUUAAAAAAAUGAUGAAUGUCGGGGGGGCGUUCAAGGUUAGUUUUCUACUUUCUUUGUCGCUCUCCGUGUAUUCAACCAACCCGCUCUUGUAUUUGGAUCAACCAAAAAUUAACAAAGAUACUUUAUAUAUAAUAAAAAUAAACUUUCAACAACGGAUCUCUUGGCUCUC